CAGCCACACUGGAACUGAGACACGGUCCAGACUCCUACGGGAGGCAGCAGUGGGGAAUAUUGCACAAUGGGCGCAAGCCUGAUGCAGCCAUGCCGCGUGUGUGAAGAAGGCCUUCGGGUUGUAAAGCACUUUCAGCGGGGAGGAAGGCGAUAAGGUUAAUAACCUUGUCGAUUGACGUUACCCGCAGAAGAAGCACCGGCUAACUCCGUGCCAGCAGCCGCGGUAAUACGGAGGGUGCAAGCGUUAAUCGGAAUUACUGGGCGUAAAGCGCACGCAGGCGGUCUGUCAAGUCGGAUGUGAAAUCCCCGGGCUCAACCUGGGAACUGCAUUCGAAACUGGCAGGCUAGAGUCUUGUAGAGG
This 360-nucleotide ribosomal RNA is filed under the name Klebsiella quasipneumoniae subsp. similipneumoniae. RNAcentral's name for it is "bacterial SSU rRNA". It matches the Rfam family "Bacterial small subunit ribosomal RNA", at positions 305 to 657 of the family's 1533-position model. The record is from RNAcentral. Lineage: Bacteria; Pseudomonadati; Pseudomonadota; Gammaproteobacteria; Enterobacterales; Enterobacteriaceae.